CUACAAUUGGCGCUUCAACUUCGC
This 24-nucleotide non-coding RNA is filed under the name Arabidopsis thaliana (thale cress). The record is from RNAcentral. Lineage: Eukaryota; Viridiplantae; Streptophyta; Magnoliopsida; Brassicales; Brassicaceae.